This 1452-nucleotide ribosomal RNA is filed under the name metagenome. Its description in RNAcentral is "bacterial SSU rRNA". It matches the Rfam family "Bacterial small subunit ribosomal RNA". The record is from RNAcentral.
AGAGUUUGAUCCUGGCUCAGGAUGAACGCUGGCGGCGUGCCUAACACAUGCAAGUCGAACGUGAUCUACUUCGGUAGUGAAAGUGGCGCACGGGUGAGUAACACGUAGCUUAUCUGCCCCAAAGUGGGGGAUAACAGAUCGAAAGGUCUGCUAAUACCCCAUAAGCUCACGAGGGAUAGCCCCCUAGUGAGAAAAGCUCCGACGCUUUGGGAGGAGGCUGCGGCCCAUCAGCUAGUUGGCGAGGUAACGGCUCACCAAGGCAACGACGGGUAGGGGGCCUGAGAGGGUGAUCCCCCACACUGGAACUGAGACACGGUCCAGACUCCUACGGGAGGCAGCAGUGAGGAAUAUUGCUCAAUGGGCGCAAGCCUGAAGCAGCGACGCCGCGUGGGCGAUGAAGGUCUUCGGAUCGUAAAGCCCUUUUCACCGGGACGAGUAAGGACGGUACCGGUGGAAUAAGUGUCGGCUAACUACGUGCCAGCAGCCGCGGUAAAACGUAGGACGCAAGCGUUAUCCGGAAUUACUGGGCGUAAAGCGCGUGUAGGCGGGUGUUUAAGUCACUGUUGAAAGCUCCUGGCUAAACUGGGAGAGGUGCGGUGAUACUGGACAUCUUGAGGGGGUCAGAGGGAGGCAGAAUUCCGGGUGUAGUGGUGAAAUGCGUAGAGAUCCGGAGGAAUACCAGAGGCGAAGGCGGCCUCCUGGGACUUACCUGACGCUGAGACGCGAAAGCAUGGGGAGCGAACGGGAUUAGAGACCCCGGUAGUCCAUGCCGUAAACGAUGCAGAUUAGAUGUGCGUAGGUCUACGGAUCUAUGUGUGUCGUAGCUAACGCGAUAAAUCUGCCGCCUGGGGAGUACGGUCCAAGGCUAAAACUCAAAGGAAUUGACGGGGGCCCGCACAAGCAGCGGAGCGUGUGGUUUAAUUCGAGGCUACACGAAAAACCUUACCUAGGUUUGACAUCCUCUGAACGACCGUGAAAGCGGAAGGUCCUUCGGGACAGAGAGACAGGUGCUGCAUGGCUGUCGUCAGCUCGUGUCGUGAGAUGUUCGGUUAAGUCCGAAAACGAGCGCAACCCUCGGUGCAUGUUACAAGUGUCAUGCACAACUGCCGGCGGCAAGCCGGAGGAAGGUGGGGAUGAUGUCAAGUCAGCAUGGCCUUUAUAUCUAGGGCUACACACACGCUACAAUGGACAGUACACUGGGUCGCCAAGCCGCGAGGCGGAGCCAAUCCUGAAAGCUGUUCGUAGUUCGGAUUGCAGGCUGCAACUCGCCUGCAUGAAGCUGGAGUUGCUAGUAACCGUGUAUCAGCAUGACGCGGUGAAUACGUUCCCGGGCCUUGUACACACCGCCCGUCACGUCAUGAGAGUUAGUCACGCCUGAAGUCGGGAAGGUAACUGCAAAGAGCCUACCGCCGAAGGCAGGGCUGAUGAUUGGGACGAAGUCGUAACAAGGUA